AACGGGGUUGUUGGACACGGAGCUCCUGUGCAUGGCAUCAGUCGUUGUGCCACACAGAAACAAGGGUACGACGACUGAUGGAAUAGCUGUUUGUCAUUCUGUCUGCCUUGUCGACAUAUCCCAUGUGCUUCUUGUAAUCCGCAACAGUUGCUGGUUUGAUGACAUUCCCAUGCUCAUCACAGAAAUUGCCUUCUGCUGGAGUAGAGUGCAUGUUUGUCAACAUACGAACGUCACGUUUAUCCUUCCAAACUAGUGCUGUCAUGUCCCCUCUCACCCUAACCCGAAUGUCACCUUUCUUCAAUCGAAGUUGUCUGUUACGAAAGUCUUGAGGCAAGCCCUUCCGAUUAGGUCUGAAUAUCCCACAGCAACUUAUUUUCUUCGUCAUUAGUUCGUCAAACAGGUCUGGUGAUGAAAAGAAAUUAUCCGUGUACAGUUUGUGGCCUACUCCCUCAACCCUUCUGCAGAGGUCCCUAAUCGUAGCAUGUGUCGCUGCCACAUCUUGAUCGCCACGUGUCCUGUUUUUCCCUAAGUAAACCUUCAUGUCAUAAGUAUACACAGAGUUUGUAGAUUUUGAUUCCGAAACGUUUGUGUUUCUUAGGAUUGUUCUGUAUGAAAACCACCCUCCCUUUGAAUUUGACAAGUAUUUCAUCAACAGACAAAUGUUCAGAAGGAUUAUAAUAUUUUUGAUAUGCGUCAUUUAGAGCAGGGGUUCUCAGUGGGGGCAAUAUGGCUCCCCAGUGGGCCAAGCUGUAUUUCUGUGGGGCCACAGACAAAAUUUGGAAAAAUGGAGGGCCAUGGAAACUGUUAAGUGGGCCACAAAAUUUUAACUUCUAAAAUAAAAUUAUUAAUAAUGUAAAAAGAAAUAAAAAUGCCAAAUGGUCAGUACAUAUAAUAACAUAAUAACUCAAUAUCCUUGUUUUUGUGUACCUUACUUAGAAGGGACAGAGCCUAUUGUAUUUAAACCACAACCUUAGAUCUGGGAAUUCCAAGUACCGGUAAACAGGUGCACGCCUUCUCAGAGCGGGUAGAGCCCUAACGAAUUAUCCUUUAUUUUCUUAAAUAUCUCCCCCUCCUCUCAUGAGUUUUACCGCCACCAUUUCAGUAAAUUUCAGGUGUUCUUCAGUUCAGUAUUCGAAGUGUUUGGAAGAAGACAUUUUUCUGUGCAAGUUCUAUUAUUGUGGCAGUUCCCUACUUUAAAGUGCCUACUGCUCCCCUUUGGAGAAAUAGGUUUGAGACAGAUAUCGUACGACCUUGUAACCAGUGAUGUGAUCUUAUGAUCGAGUGGACCAGUCUUCACUUAAUUUGGUGAGAACUUUAUGCUGCUCAAGGCCAGCAUGACUCAAAAUCUUCAAUUCUUCUCUGCUGAGUAGUCAACACCAUGGUAUGCACCAUUACUAUGGCUUAAUGCUGGGUUCUGGCAUGUUGCAUGUCAACAGACUGUGAAAAUGUGUACAUAGACUGGAUAAC
Long non-coding RNA from Cryptotermes secundus, 1467 nucleotides. RefSeq lists it as uncharacterized. The transcript has 3 exons. The record is from RefSeq and is a predicted model, not a curated record. Lineage: Eukaryota; Metazoa; Arthropoda; Insecta; Blattodea; Kalotermitidae.